This 717-nucleotide ribosomal RNA is filed under the name Priestia megaterium. RNAcentral's name for it is "bacterial SSU rRNA". It matches the Rfam family "Bacterial small subunit ribosomal RNA", at positions 55 to 753 of the family's 1533-position model. The record is from RNAcentral. Lineage: Bacteria; Bacillati; Bacillota; Bacilli; Caryophanales; Bacillaceae.
AUGCAAGUCGAGCGAACUGAUUAGAAGCUUGCUUCUAUGACGUUAGCGGCGGACGGGUGAGUAACACGUGGGCAACCUGCCUGUAAGACUGGGAUAACUUCGGGAAACCGAAGCUAAUACCGGAUAGGAUCUUCUCCUUCAUGGGAGAUGAUUGAAAGAUGGUUUCGGCUAUCACUUACAGAUGGGCCCGCGGUGCAUUAGCUAGUUGGUGAGGUAACGGCUCACCAAGGCAACGAUGCAUAGCCGACCUGAGAGGGUGAUCGGCCACACUGGGACUGAGACACGGCCCAGACUCCUACGGGAGGCAGCAGUAGGGAAUCUUCCGCAAUGGACGAAAGUCUGACGGAGCAACGCCGCGUGAGUGAUGAAGGCUUUCGGGUCGUAAAACUCUGUUGUUAGGGAAGAACAAGUACAAGAGUAACUGCUUGUACCUUGACGGUACCUAACCAGAAAGCCACGGCUAACUACGUGCCAGCAGCCGCGGUAAUACGUAGGUGGCAAGCGUUAUCCGGAAUUAUUGGGCGUAAAGCGCGCGCAGGCGGUUUCUUAAGUCUGAUGUGAAAGCCCACGGCUCAACCGUGGAGGGUCAUUGGAAACUGGGGAACUUGAGUGCAGAAGAGAAAAGCGGAAUUCCACGUGUAGCGGUGAAAUGCGUAGAGAUGUGGAGGAACACCAGUGGCGAAGGCGGCUUUUUGGUCUGUAACUGACGCUGAGGCG